Molecule: ribosomal RNA, 1110 nt
Filed under: Triticum aestivum (bread wheat)
Lineage: Eukaryota; Viridiplantae; Streptophyta; Magnoliopsida; Poales; Poaceae
Description: partial small subunit ribosomal RNA
Source: RNAcentral
AUGGCGAGCCGCGACAAGGUCGGCUGCCCCGCGGCCACGCUGCCCCUCGACCGCCUCCUGGCCACGCUCGCCGCCAACGCGGAGCAGCUGGGGAAGAGGUGGGAGAUCGCCGUCCGCGACCGGAGGGCCAGAGCGGCCGAGCGGAGGAUGGAGGCGGACACGGCGCCGCCGGUGCAGCUGCACACGCCGCUCUUCUACGCCACCUGCGCCCUCGGCGGGGUGCUCAGCACCGGCCUCACCCACCUCGCAGUCACGCCGCUCGACCUCGUCAAGUGCAAUAUGCAGGUUGACCCCAGCAAGUACAGGGACAUCUCUUCUGGCUUUGGUGUGCUGCUCCAAGAGCAGGGUCUCGGUGGGUUCUUCAAAGGCUGGAUGGCCACGCUGGUUGGGUAUAGCAGCCAGGGAGCCUGCAAGUUUGGUUUCUACGAGUACUUCAAGAAGUGCUACUCGGACAUUGCUGGCCCCGAGAAUGCUGACAGGUUGAAGACCGUCAUCUACCUCGCUGCAUCGGCGUCGGCAGAGGUAAUUGCAGAUUUAGCUCUCUGCCCCAUGGAAGCCGUCAAGGUUCGGAUCCAGACGCAGCCUGGAUUCGCUCGAUGCCUAACCGAUGGGCUUCCGAAGCUUGUCCGGUCCGAAGGUGCCUUUGGGCUUUACAAGGGGAUAGUUCCUCUUUGGGGCCGACAAAUUCCUUACACCAUGAUGAAAUUUGCUUGCUUUGAAACCAUUGUUGAGAUGGUGUACAAGCAUGCUGUCCCAAAACCAAAAGAUCAAUGCAGUAAACCACUCCAGCUAGCAGUGAGUUUUGCAGGGGGAUACAUUGCUGGAGUCCUGUGUGCUGCUGUCUCUCAUCCCGCAGACAACCUGGUGUCUUUUCUCAACAACGCAAAGGGAGCCACUGUGGCAGAUGCUAUAACAACCAUUGGGCUGUGGGGCCUUUUCACUCGUGGCCUUCCGCUCCGUAUUAUCAUGGUGGGCACUCUUACUGGAGCGCAAUGGGCAACAUACGACGCGUUUAAAGUAUUUGUUGGGCUACCAACCACUGGAGGAGUCAGCUCUAGUUGUCAUGCUGCCACUACUUUUCACCGAGUAGAUCAUGAGAAGCAGAACUGA